Gorilla gorilla gorilla (western lowland gorilla) is the source of this 2399-nucleotide long non-coding RNA. RefSeq lists it as uncharacterized. Lineage: Eukaryota; Metazoa; Chordata; Mammalia; Primates; Hominidae. The transcript has 11 exons. The record is from RefSeq and is a predicted model, not a curated record.
GCAAGAGCGUCUGUGCUGAACCACGGAGCCACCAGAGGGCGCGCGAUCCCGCCCCACCAACUUCCCGCGGAGGUGCCAGAAGCAGCGAGGAGCUUCAACUUCCCCAGUGCAGCACGAGGGUCGUGUUAACUUGGUGUUCUUCAUUGAGAAAUGGAAUCAUCCUAUCGCUGAUCUACGUAAACAAAUUGAAGAAUUGUCUGAAAGAAAAUAUGACAUGAACUUAUGAAUUCAACAGGUGAAGAUUUACAACUUGAUAAAUCAGCUUUGUGAGCUCGAGCUGUAAAAGCCAAAGGUCCGGUGAUGAUCCCAUACCCUUUUUUCCAGUCUCAUGUUGAAGAUUUUUAUGUAGAAGGCCUUCCCAAAGGAAAUUUUUUUUUUUUUUGAGAUGGAGUUUUCACUCUUAUCGCCCAGGCUGGGGUGCAGUGGCGCAACCUUGCUGGUCACUGCAACCUCUGCCUCCUCGGUUCAAGAAAUUCUCCUGCCUUAGCCUCCCAAGUCGCUGGGAUUACAGGUGCCCACCACCACACCAGGCUAAUUUUUGUAUUUUUAGUGGAGAUGGGGUUUCACCAUGUUGGCCGAGCCAGUCUCGAACUCCUGACGUCAAGUGAUCUUCCCGCCUCGGCCUUCCAGAGUGCUGAGAUUACAGACGUGAACCCAUGCCUGGCCAGGAAUUUUGUUUUUUAGGAAGGCUUUCUACUAAUGGAAUUCCUGGCCUUGAGAGGAUGUUACUUUCGAAGGAAAGGAUUUUUUUGUUAUUAAAAGAAACAGGACCUUGCCCUGUCACUCAGGAUGGAGUUCAGUGCUCCUAUCAUGGCUCAUUAUAGCCUCAAACUCCCAGGCUCAAGCAAUCCUACCAUGUCAGCCUUCCCCUAGCUGGGACUACAGGUCUCACACUGUCACCCAGGCUGGAGUACAGUGGCACAACCUCUGCUCACUGCAGCCUCCACCUGCCAGGCUCAAGCAAUUCUCCUGCCUCAGCCUCCCGAGUAGCUGGGAUUACAGGAAGUGAGCUCACAAUGACUCAAGCUGCCACAUACUGUUGAUUGUGAAAUGCCAGUUGAAGUAUAUGUCCUGCGAGCUUAGGGGUGCUACAAGUUGACCACUGCAGCAGUAAAGAUGACUCUGAAGAAUGGCGUGGGAUGGAUCCUUUCAAAUGCACUUGAGCAGCGGUCUCCAACCACAGGGCCACAGAGCUGGAGCUGGAUCUACCAUGAAGGACUUCUGAAUCCAGGAAGAGAGACUGACUGGGCAACAUGUUAUUCAGGGUCUCACUCUGUUGUCCAAGGCUGGAGUGUAGUAGUGCUAUCGCAGCUGACUGCAGCCUCAACCUUCCAGGCUGAAGCGAUCCUCCCACCUCAACCUCCCACGUGGCUGAGACUACAGGUGCUUGCCACUAUGCCAAACUAAUAUUUGGAAUUUUUGUAUACGUGGAUUCCAGAGGGGUGACAGCGAAACGUGGGACCAUCCAGUUUCAGGAAAACAAGCUUAACACGCCCACUGAUUCUACAUUAUGCUCCUACUUCCCGGCAGCCUCUCCAGGCCCAGAACUUUCUCCAGUCAGCCUCUACAGACCAAGCUCAUGACUCACAGUGGCAUAUUUAGGCCCAUACCCCACCUCAUGGCAGUCUCCGCAGAUGAGCCUACUGCCUCACAACAGCCUCCACAGGCACAGCUCCAUCGUUACAAUGGCCUCUUUAGACCCAGCUCCUGCCUCCCAGCCUUCUCUCCAGGCCCUGAGCUUUCUCAAGUCGACCUCACCAGGCCCAGCUCAUGCUUCUUUGCAGCCUCUCCAGGCCCAGCUCCUGCAUCUUGGCCCCUCCAGGCCCAGCCUCUGCCUCCUGUCGGCCUCUACAGUCCCAACAUCUACCUCACAGCAGAUUCUUCAGGCCCAGCAUCUGCCUCACUGUGGACCCCCCAAGCCAAGCUCCCAACCUUUCAGCAGCUUCUACACACCCAGCUCCCGCCUGCCAGUGGCCUCUUCAGGCCCAUGGGGCUCAUUCCUCACAACAGCCUUUCCAGGCCCAGUUUUUCCCUUCCGGCGGCCUCUCUGGGCUGAGAACCUCCUCAAGUCGGCCUCUCCAGACCACUUGCACCCUCCGGGCGUCCUCUCCGGGCCAAGCUCCUCUUCCUGGCUGUGUCUCCAGGCCCGACUCCUGCCUGUCAACAACCUCUUUGGACUCAGUGCCUACCCAUCUCCUGGCUGCCUUGGUUGGCCCACAGCUUCCUCAAGCCACGCUCCCCAGGCCCAGGUCAGGCCUCACGGUGGCCUCUCCAGGAUGAGCUCCUGCCCUCUGAUGGCACCUGCAGGCCCCAAAUGGUCUCCGGUCGGUGGGCUUCUCCACGCCAAGCUUGGGCCUCCCGGCGACCUCUGCAGGCCCAAGUUGUCCUGAAGUUGGCAU